CUGUGGUGUGCUGAAAGAAUAAGCUGAGAUGUAGGGGCAAGCACCUUCCUUGGGACUUUGAGGAAGGUCUAUUGAUGGAGGGAAGAACUACCUGUAAAAAGGGUGUUGAUUUAUUGACAGCUCCUUAAGAAGGCGAUUGUACAAAACAGUAAAGCAUUGGAAAAGCACUCUUAAAAUCCUUUUUUAAAAGGUCAAAUAAAAACCACAGCAUAAAAAAUACAAAACUAAAAGUGGUCACUCACAGCAAUGGGUUGGUGGGAAAAGACUCUACUACAGGGAGCAUCACACAUGUGAAUUCAGAGCACAGACCAGCUGUUGCUACUUGCAAUUAAUCUGAAGUAAUUGUUUGGAGGUGUGAGCUACCUUGCCUAAGGAACUGAUGGAGAUCAGCUGUAUGGUGGACACAGAAUGAUGGUCUUAUACUGCCACAAGCCAAAUUCAGCUUGUUGGAGCUGUUGCUGAAGAUGCCAUGAGACUUCCCAGUGAUCUUCAGAUCAGGUUAACAGCCAAUAGGAUGGACACCCCAGUCUCAUCUUAGUGAUGCAAAUUGGGAAUGACCCCUUCAGUCAGUGUCUAUGUAUAGCCAUGCCUGUGGAAGGAGGCAGUAACAUCUACUUUAAAAUACCUGUUAAACUUGAAGCGUGUAGGAGAAAGGAAAACGGUUCAAAGAGAAGCAGAGAAUACUGAAAUCAAGAUAUUGCUGCUGUCUUCCAAGCAAUGACAACAUUGUCAUUUUUGCCUUUCUUCUUAAGAGAUUAAAGCUGAACGCACUGAUGCUAGGACUUACGCAUGUUUAACUUUCCUAAGUAUUCACGUCAUUGUAAUUUGAUUCAUUUCCAUUCAGC
RNAcentral lists this long non-coding RNA (845 nucleotides) under Numida meleagris (helmeted guineafowl). Its description in RNAcentral is "lncRNA (ENSNMEG00000018842.1)". Lineage: Eukaryota; Metazoa; Chordata; Aves; Galliformes; Numididae. The record is from RNAcentral.